UACGAAGGGUGCAAGCGUUACUCGGAAUUACUGGGCGUAAAGCGUGCGUAGGUGGUUUGUUAAGUCUGAUGUGAAAGCCCUGGGCUCAACCUGGGAACGGCAUUGGAAACUGGCUUACUAGAGUGCGGUAGAGGGGUGUGGAAUUCCCGGUGUAGCAGUGAAAUGCGUAGAUAUCGGGAGGAACAUCUGUGGCGAAGGCGACACCCUGGACCAGCACUGACACUGAGGCACGAAAGCGUGGGGAGCUAACAGG
RNAcentral lists this ribosomal RNA (253 nucleotides) under uncultured bacterium. RNAcentral's name for it is "partial 16S ribosomal RNA". It matches the Rfam family "Bacterial small subunit ribosomal RNA", at positions 524 to 776 of the family's 1533-position model. The record is from RNAcentral.